AAGAUCAUAUCAAACUUACAGAUAUCUAAACAGCUAAUUCCUAAAAUUCAAAUACUGAAAUUUUAAAAAUUGCGCAUUCAUGUUACUAAACUUGCACUCAUUAUGCAACAGCAAAAGAUUAACAUUAUCAUCCUGUACGAUCAACUACCUUGACAUUUUGUAAGCAAUAUAAAUCAAUAAAUUGAGAUGAUUGGCAGAAACACAAACACCACCUACACUAUACAGACUGACAUGAACAAAUAACUCAAACUAGAAGAGAAGCAGAACAUUACCCUUUGGAAGAAAUUAAAAAAAAUCAUGACUACAACUAAAAAUUGCAUCUCCAUAGAGCUAAAUUUACAUCACACAAUAAAACAAUUGCGCAGGACAAACAAAAAACAACUAAGAUUAGUUGUGAAUGUAGAAAUUCACAUGACAAAAAAAGUUAAACUAGAACUAAAGCAGAACACCCACCAACAAAAAUGCAUUGUGAUUUUUACUACUAGUACUAAAAAUACAUUAGUAUGAGCGUGGAGAUAUACAUUUCCAUAAACUAUAUAUAAAUACAUUGUCAUGAACAAAAAAGUUAAAGUAGGACUAAAAGAAAACACCUCCCUAAAUGCAAAAUUCAGAUCCAUUCAUGACUAAUGAAAUUGAGAAUGACAAUAAAACCCAUUUAGGAACACAUUGUUACAUCAAAGUACAGAAUUCAGAUGAACAAAGAACUCAAACUAGAAGUAAAGAAAACAACUACAUUUCCAUCUUAACAGAGCUAAACUUGCACUUCAGAACACAAUGUUACAGGGAAACUACAGAAUUCCCAUGAACAAGGAACUCAAACUAAAAGUAAAUAUACACAGCUAUUGAUGAUAGUACAAUUACAUGAGGAUUUCAACCUAUAUGAACUGCAAACUACCUAACUCAACUCACGCAUAUAAAACUAUAAAAAGUUUUAUACUAAUAAUACUAAAGUUGCACACAUUUCAUAAAAGCAAAAAAAAGAUUCAUAUCAAACUUACAGAUAUCUAAACAGCUAAUUCCUAAAAUUCAAAUACUAAAAUUUUAAAAAUUGCGCAUUCAUGUUGCUAAAACUUGCACUUAUUAUGCAACAGCAAGAUUAACAUUAUCAUCUUGUACGAUCAACUUCCUUGACAUUUUGUAUAAGCAAUAUAAAUCAAUAAAUUAAGAUGAUUGGCAGAAACACAAACACCACCUACACUAUACAGAUUGACAUGAACAAAUAACUCAAACUAGAAGAAAUGCAGAACAUCACCCUUUGGAAGAAAUUAAAAAAAAAUCAUGACUACAACUAAAAAUUGCACCUCCAUGAAGCUAAAUUUACAUCACACAAAUAAAACAAUUGCACUGGACAAACAAAAAACAAGUAAGACUAGUUGUGAAUAUAGAAAUUCACAUGACAAAUAAAGUUAAACUAGAACUAAAGCAGAACACCCACCAAACAAAAAAUGCAUUAUGAAUUUCCAUUAGUAUGAGCAUGGAGAUAUACAUUUCCAUUAACUAGAUAUAAAUACAUUGUCAUGAACGAAAAGGUUAAAGUAGGACUAAAAGAAAACACCUCCCUAAAUGCAGAAUUCAGAAUUCAUGACUACUGAUGAAAUUGAGAAAGACAAUAAAACCCAUUUAGGAACACAUUGUUACGUCAAAUUACAGAAUUCCGAUGAACAAAAAACUCAAACUUGCACUUCAGAACACAAUGUUACAGGAAAACUACAGAAUUCCCAUGAACAAGGAACUCAAACUAAAAGUAAUAUACACAACUAUUGAUGACAGUAUAAUGACAUGAAGAUUUCAACCUAUAUGAACUGCAAACUACCUAACUCAAUUAACACAGAGAAAACUAUAAAAAGGUUUAUACUAAUAAUACUAAAGUUGCACACAUUUCAUAAAAGCAAAAAAAA
RNAcentral lists this long non-coding RNA (1898 nucleotides) under Triticum aestivum (bread wheat). RNAcentral's name for it is "long non-coding RNA (TAES_LNC000459)". Lineage: Eukaryota; Viridiplantae; Streptophyta; Magnoliopsida; Poales; Poaceae. The record is from RNAcentral.